This 429-nucleotide long non-coding RNA is filed under the name Pan troglodytes (chimpanzee). Its description in RNAcentral is "long non-coding RNA NONPTRT015397". The record is from RNAcentral. Lineage: Eukaryota; Metazoa; Chordata; Mammalia; Primates; Hominidae.
GUUGACUCCAUUGACUAUUUUCUUGAUAAUGUAGCUGGGAUAAACUAGAAAACAAGUUUCCCCACGGUCAGCUGGAAAUACUCAUAUUGCACUUGGACGGAGCAGAUUGUUUCUGAAGAGGGCCAGUGAUGAGCACCAGUUCCCUCCUUGCCCAGGCCAACAGCGUUUCACAGGACCCCUGGGCUCGUCCUGAUGGUUCUCUUCCAAACGAUGAUCUAGAAAGAUGCCCCGUGUUAAGCUGCUUGCCUUUCGAAGGUCUUCAAAUCAUUGUUCCUCCAUAUCAUAUUCAGAGCUAGUGCUUUCAUGCUGAUGUGGAAACAUCUAAGAGGACUCAUAAUGUCAACAUGCAUUUCCCCAAUAAGUAAACAAGAGAAAUGACACUGACAAGAACAAGAAAUGAUUAUUUCUUCUGCCAAAGUUGGAAGCGAC